RNAcentral lists this ribosomal RNA (253 nucleotides) under uncultured bacterium. RNAcentral describes it as "partial 16S ribosomal RNA". It matches the Rfam family "Bacterial small subunit ribosomal RNA", at positions 524 to 776 of the family's 1533-position model. The record is from RNAcentral.
UACGAAGGGUGCAAGCGUUAAUCGGAAUUACUGGGCGUAAAGCGUGCGUAGGCGGUUCGUUAAGUCUGUUGUGAAAGCCCUGGGCUCAACCUGGGAAUGGCAAUGGAAACUGGCGAGCUAGAGUCAGGUAGAGGGUGGUGGAAUUCCCGGUGUAGCGGUGAAAUGCGUAGAGAUCGGGAGGAACAUCUGUGGCGAAGGCGGCCACCUGGACCAUGACUGACGCUGAGGCACGAAAGCGUGGGGAGCAAACAGG